UUUUAAACAAAGGACCACACCCGCAAAUAAGAAAUAACGAGCAAUCAAUAAAUGAAGUGGAUUCCCGGGGACUUUUAGUAUGUUGUUCCUAAAGGUAUUCUGAACAUAUUCUGAGAAAUCCAGCUUGUUACUAAUUUGUUCCGGGUUGGGCCUAUUUUUGAGCUAAUACUCUUGGCCUAUUGUAUCUCUGCAAUGCCUAACUUACUCGCAUCGCAACACAAAUUAAUAACCAUAAUAAACACUAUCCCCAGAGGUCACAUAACGAUUUUAAUGCAAAUCUGCCACUAGGGGGCAUAAGCAAAAAAGUGUUUUUGCCCGUAUUGACCUCAGAUCAUCAAAAGUUUGGUAUCGCUGGAAUUUUUGGGUGAAGCCGAAUCCAACGCACUCUAUGAUGUCAUAUUUACCAUUAUGAAUUUCUCCUCAUUUUGACAUUUUAAAAAAUCAACAAAAAUCACACAUUUUUGUCUGAUCCUCCUACAAUUUUUAUCACACCACCAUUGCACUAUUCUGCAUCUACGCUGUAAUUUACAGAGCAAUAGCUGAAAGCACCGGUGCACAGUAGCCAAUCAAUAUUGACAAACACACCGUCCAAACAGGAAGUUAGCUCAUAUCUCAGCAAUACCUUCACGGAUCUUAACGAAAGUUCUUAAGGGCUCUGCAUACUUCACGUGCGCACUUUGGCGCAUUUGGCGCGAGAACCAUUAAAAUGUGGCAGACCAUUCAUAGUCAAAAGCGCCAUUUACAGGCUUUUGCUUGCAUUUUCGGAAGUGUGCCCUCUGCUGUUCAUGAGAGAAACAGCAGAUUCUGUCGCAGAAAUGGCAGAAACUCGCAGCAUGAGUUCUACAGAUGUAUAAAAAUAGAAAGCCAAAUACGACUGCUGUAAUGCUACUGAACGUCUGACUUAUGACUUACCACAAUGAAACAUAGAUUUUUGUUGUAGCCUACAUUACCAGAUCAUUCCAAGACCAUGUGAGAGCAUUGUUCUGGUUGCAGAAUUUAUAAAUAGAUCGCCGAACACAACGUGCUUCUGAACAAAGUAAACAAUUGUUUCACUGAACAACAUUUUAGGGAGAAGAUAAAAUAACUCUCUAGGACAUUUUAUUAUCCUCAAAAUGAUGCAGGAUCCAUUCUGUAGUAGCCUACAGUAGCUGUAGCCUCUCUUCGCAACUCCUGCUUUGUCUGCCUACCUGCAUGGUCGCUGGUGGCGCACGCCAAGUUACAAAAAAUGUGGGGUGCACGAACUCGCGCCACGCCAGCUGCGACAGGGGCGUGUGACGUAAUUUUGGGUCACGUGACGGCGCGCGCCAUCGUCGCGAGUGAGGUAUGAAGGAGGUUAGCGCCAGUCACGCCAAGUAUGAAUCCGCCUUUACACAUGAUCUUCUGUACACCCAGAGGGUACCUACCGACUUUGGUGCAAAUCGGCCACUGGGGGGCGCUACAGUUGGUGAAAAUGUGUUUUGGUCAAUAUAGUACUACUCCAAACAGUAAGUUAGCUCAUAUCUAGAUGGUUAACUGUAUGUUGUGUAGGGCAAGGCAUACAUGAAGGGCAACGAAUGCAAGACGGGCAAGCAUACUCCAGCAUUUUCUGUGAGGAAAUGCAAUCUCGUUAGGCCUAUACUGGGAGCUCAAUUUACGAGGCCAAACCCAUACACAUUACCCCGGAAUGCUAGCUUUGACAGUAGCCUAUCCACCAGCUAUAAUUCUUACAUAGAAUAUUUUGUUGCGAUUUGUGACUGGAAAUUGCAGUAGCAUUUUUUUUUUAGCAUUUAGCCCUAUGGGCUCCCUUUUCCAUUCAUGUUCCACUCUGUUUCUACAUGCCCGCGUUCGCCAACUAGUGGACACCCAAGAGGAACUGCAAAGCUAACUGGCUACAAUGGUCCCAAUAUAUAGCUUCUCCGCUAUUCUAUUCUAAUUUCUCUGCCGUCACCCACUUGCGAGCUCUAUGCACAAGUGCAUUUACUUUUUGUUCCAGAUAGAAGUGAAUAUAUUAAAACAAUGUAACACGAUUGAAAUUUGGGGGGAUUGGCAUUUCGAUUCCGAUUCCGGCCCGGCCCAAAUACAAGUAGGACGGUAGAGCGAUGGCGAGAAGAGGCGCACCAGCUACGAAAUGCAGAUCUCUCGCCAAGCUGUUUUUAAAUAAUCUCAUACAGUAAUUUAGCUAAUAAUACAAGCGACCCAUCCAUGGAAGGAACAGAACAGGAAACUCAGUGGUAUAACUUGCAGACUUUCCGGGGGAAGUCUGAAUUUCUAACUUUAGAAGAAAAAAACUACUUCCACAUCCGGUGAGCAGCAUAGCAAGCCAUCAGCGAGGGUUGUCAGAUUGUUACAGCCAUUGGUGGUCGGGGUAGCAGAGUUGCCUACGGAGCCAUUCACCUGCAUGUGUGUGUGUCGUGAUAUAGGCACAGGCCUACAAAAGAGCUGUCCUGGCUCCCACCUGGACAAUGCAAU
Long non-coding RNA from Engraulis encrasicolus (European anchovy), 2448 nucleotides. RefSeq lists it as uncharacterized. NCBI's taxonomy places the organism in Eukaryota, Metazoa, Chordata, Actinopteri, Clupeiformes, Engraulidae. The transcript has 3 exons. The record is from RefSeq and is a predicted model, not a curated record.